AGACACAGGGGUACCUCCAGCUUUAAUUAAGAUCUGAAACAAUGGAAGAUCACAGGGAAUGCAGUAUGCCUUGGCUAUCCCAAUAGAACUGAUUUUCACAGCCUGAAUUAAGUUGAGAUCUAGCAAGUCUCGCAUCCACACCAAAGCUGCUAGCUGCUUCUUCCUCCCCGCCACCAGAAAUUCCAGAAUCGCUUCUCUUCUGC
This is a long non-coding RNA of Telopea speciosissima, 203 nucleotides long. RefSeq lists it as uncharacterized. The record is from RefSeq and is a predicted model, not a curated record. The transcript is spliced from 3 exons. NCBI's taxonomy places the organism in Eukaryota, Viridiplantae, Streptophyta, Magnoliopsida, Proteales, Proteaceae.